This is a long non-coding RNA of Peromyscus californicus insignis, 9609 nucleotides long. RefSeq lists it as uncharacterized. The record is from RefSeq and is a predicted model, not a curated record. Lineage: Eukaryota; Metazoa; Chordata; Mammalia; Rodentia; Cricetidae. The transcript has 3 exons.
GAGGGAGGGAGGAAGGGGUGAACCUUUUAUGAGUAGCAAAGGGAGAAUGUACUAGAAGGGGAGGGGAAUGGAGUAUUCUGGGGUUUUAAGAUGAAGGAGAAAUUGACUGUGGAUAAGUCAAAAGAUUAGUCUUUUGGCAAAAGAAUUUUGUGAUCCAAUAUAGCUUUCCAGUGAAUUUUAUUUACACUGAACAAGUGCACAGGUGUCUUUGGCCAUGAGCGCUGAUGCCAUCCCAAGCUGCAAGGAACUAGUUUUUUCCCAAAGGAUUUGGAGGCUCAGUUGGAAAAGUUUGGUUUUGGGAGGUUUAGAAAAAGAUAAUGCCCAGGUGGGUGGGGCUUUGAAGGGAGCUCCCCUUUGGGGCUGGUGGGCCUCUUGUGUGUGAGGGGGUGAAAGAGAGAGAGAGAGAGAGAGAGAGAGAGAGAGAGAGAGAGAGAGAGAGAGAGAGAGAGGUGUGUGUAUGUGUGUGUUGUAUGUGUGUAUACAUGUAGAAGUCAGAAGAAACUGAAACUUCAGGUCUUAAUUGCUUAGGCGACAUUCUCUCUCUCUCUCUCUCUCUCUCUCUCUCUCUCUCUCUCUCUCUCUCUCUGUCGUCUCUUACUGUCCUGGAGCUCCACAAGUAGGUUACACUUCUGUCUAAUGAGCUUCCAGAAUCCAUUUAUUUCUGCCUCCCCAAUCCCUGUAUUACAAGAACCCAUCACCUUGUAGGAAUAUCUGUAUUUUCUUUCCUUCUUUCUCUCUUUCUUUCUUCCUUUCUCUCUUUCUUUCUUUCUUCUUUCUCUCUUUCUUUCUUUUUUUUAUGUGAGUACUGAGGAUUGAACUCAGAUCCUAGUACUUGUAAGCAAGUACAUUGCUGGUUGAACUGUCUCCCCAUUUCUUGCUUUUCUUCCCUCAAACCCAUGUCAGGAGAGUGUUGUUAGCUGCCCAGACAAACUUGAUAGACAGUUCCUCAGGUCCAAAGCAAGCAGGUUAAAAAUUGGCAUCCAGCUUCUGCCAUUGAUUGGUCUAGACUGCUCACUUGGUCCUGCCUCCAUGAUUUUCUCCAAGGUCUUUCCCACCAACUUGCCCUUUUACCACAUUUCUGUCUGGUUUUUCUUGUCUACUAAUUGUUAAGGAUGAGGUAUUUGAAGUAGGCAGGCCUCAGUUUGAAUCCCACUUAGUAUUAUAUUACUUAGACUCUUUGAUGUUCUUUUCCCAUCUGUAAAAUGGGGAUAAUAAAGCCUACCUCUCAAACUAGUUGUAAGAAUUAAAUAGGAGGAUGUGUCAGUGAGGGCUUGGCACAUAACAAAUGCUUCAUAAACGGUAGUUAACAGUUUACUUUGAAUUUCCUCUCUCCGCUCCCUGGCCACUUUUCAUCAGAGUACACAGAAUCAGAGAGCAAAGAGUGAUGGCCAAAGAGAUGGGCAUACAAGGUGAACGGUGAGGAUGCUGUCUGUACCCCUGUCUUGAAUAUGCUGAAGGAAGUUGGAUCCCCAGUCACCAGUGAUCCCGCAACUGUCCGUACGUGAGUGAUGCACAGACCUAAGUCUCCCAGAGCCAUUUUAGACAGGAUCUCUGCAAAGUGUCACUUCAGCCUACCUUGUUACAGAUAGAUCUACUGAAUUUAAAGCAAGAAGCUGAAGUAUGACUUCUCCUCUUGGGCAUAAGUCACAAGCUAGAGCACUCUGCAGUGUUUCGGUGUGAAGCCGUUUCAGUGUGAAGCUGUUUCAGUGAGGAGAGCCCUGCAAAGAUACUGGGAAUGGAUGCACACUUCUGAGGGAGGGGUUAGAAUCUCCUCAAUGUUUCCUCUUUUUGGAGUUCCUCAUCUGGUCCAGUUUGAUGGCCUCAGGAAGAAAGCAGAGAGAGUGCCUGGGCAUGCUGAGCUUGCAAGAGGCUGAUGGCGUCUGUGACCUGAUUUGGGAUUUUAUGAUCAUUUUCUGGGAUUUCUAAAUUAAGAGGAAGAGUACUUGUCAUUCCUCUCUUCCAAAUAAGAGGAAAAAAGAUGAGUGAAAGGUGACAUUCAGUAAAGGGCUGAAUUUUUAACACAGCUGGUACAUGAUUGACUCCUUCAGUUGGGGGCCGUUCUGCUGUGCGCGCAGGCCUCAUCUUAGGCUGAUGGUGCAAGAGCAGAGUGUGAUUCAGAAGUGCUCAUGUCAAGGUCAUGCUGGAGAAGAAGCUGAAGAGCAAUUACUAGCCAACCACAGCUGGAAGCCUAGAAGAUAGAGCAAUCAGCACCCUGCAUCAAUGGCUGUGCUUCAGACCAAGAGGCAUCCAAGCCACUUCUUCCCAUAUUACCUGGAGUGCCUGUGUGUGAUUUUGAGGGAAGAGGGCAGAUGGAACUAUGAACUUGGUGUCCAUGUCACCUGGGAAAAGAAGCAAGCUCUUGCAUAAGAUGACCGUGGGUCAGGAGAGUGUGCCCUGUAAGUUUAUGGUAUGAAGAGGUUGAGGGGGCCCCUUGGAGCCACUCAGCUAUCCUAGUUUUAACCUGUUCUUGUUCCUCAUCGUUCCCACCUGUAAUUCUGUCUUGGCAACAACUCCACACUGAGUGUUCUCAAAGUACUUUGUAGACUUUAAUUAGUUCCGUGGGAAGUGAGGCAAAGUCCAGCCUUCAUUUUGCCAAAAGAUGUUGGAAGUUGGGGAACAGGGAAGAAAGACAGCUAGAUAGCCAAGCAACUUUCUGAAGGGUGUGUGGUGUAGGAGGGUGUGUGGUUAAAACCCCUGUGUCCUGAGCCUUGGUAGGAAUGUCUUAGCCUUCUAGUCCCAAACAGGCAGUGGGCUCAUCCUACUAACCUACUUUACUAGGGUGUUGUUGAUGAAUGCUUAUAAACCCUAUCCUAGAUGACAGGCUUGGAAGAUAGUUAAGGAAAGCAUGUCAUUAAGUCCCUACUCACCCCCUCUCUACGACUAGCCCUGGAGAAAUGGAUGAUAGCCAGAACCCAAGGGCCCCCACUUCCAUAGAUGUUUGGAGCACUCACCAGCAGUGAGGGAAUCAGGGACGCGGCCUGCAGGAUGAACAGUGGGGACUGAGGAAAGUCUAAAACAGGUGACACAUAGCCAGGUGGGUCAGAAAAGAUUGUCACCAGAUGGCUGACUCCUCCUAAGGCUCUGUGGAUGGCUGCUUUCUUAACAUACAGGACACAGUUUUUGUAGUGUUCCCCCUUCUUUGUAAGGCCCUCUCUGAGGCCUGUCACAAGGUAUCUUUUUAAAUUAGGUUUCUAUUGCUGUGAUAAACACCAUGACCAAAAACAACUUGGGGAAGAAUGGGUUUAUUUCAGUUCUCAAGGGAGGAACCUGGAGGCAAGAACUGAAACAGAAGCCAUGGAGGAAUGCUUCUUACUGGCUUGCUCCCAAUGGCUUGCUCAGCCUGCUUUCUUACACCAUCCAGAACCACCUGCCCAGGGCUGGUACCCCCAUAGCAAGCUGAGCCCUCUCAUACCAAUCAUUAAUCAAGACAAUACCCCCACAGAUUUGCCUAUGGGCCAAUGUUACCGGGACAUUUUCUUGAUUAAGAUUCCCUCUUCCAGGGGACGAGAGAGAUGUCUCAGAGGGUAAGAGCACUUGCUGUUCUUCCAGAGGACCCAGCACCCACAUGGCAGCUCACAACCAUCUGUAACUGCAGUUCUAAGGGGUCCAACACCUUCUUCUGGCCUCUGCAAGCACCAGGCACACAAACAAUACACAGACAUACAAGCAUACAAAAACUUAUACACAUAAAAUAAUAAUUUUUUUAAAAAAAGAUUCCCUCUUCCCAGAUAUGUCUAGGUUUGUGUCACGUUGACAAAAACAACUGGCACAAUAUCAAAGGAGCAUUUCUUUCCAAGGAGUUAGAUGUUCCCCACUCUGUGUGCCCGCAGCCCUUUUGGGUACUCAGGGACCUGGUUGACUCUAGGUCGUUCUAUGCUUCUCUGAAAGAAGUAGUUAAGAGUUUGGGCUCUGACUUAAGAGAUUAGAGUUGCAGGCCUUUCUCAUUUCCGUUCCAGUCAAGUUGAGUAAGUUACUUCUCUAAGCCUUGAUUUUCUCAUCUAUAAAAUGUGCCCAGUAGCAAUCCCUAACCCAAAGGUUUGCUAUGAUGUUAAGUUAAAUGCAAUAAUUCAGAUAAGCCUUAACAUGGCACUAGCAUAUGGCAAGCACUUGACCCGUUUUAACCCUGGCUCUUGUAUCUAAGACUACCUGCAGUACUUUGCUUUCUCGAGUUCCAACCUCUUCCCUGGCCCACUUCUACUUUCUUCAGUGGAAAGUCAGGUUAGACAUCAACUUCCUUUUCAAGUCAGUGAGAGCAAGGUAGAGUUAAGAUGGCCCUCCCACUUAUGUGGACAUGUUACACAUAUUAAUCCUACUCUGGAUGCCUAAUGUGUCCUCAAAAAAGCUGAGUGUGUGUCUUGCUCAGGUGAUCUUUUUAGGUGACUGUGUUGGCAAUGCUCAAACACUGCUCUAGGAGACACAAAAAUCAGAGCUGGGAGAAGAGGGGCUAGUGCUUGAGAACAAGAUGCUUUUCAUUUCCAGGCCAGCUGAAUCCUUCAGCUUCCCAAUCAAAAGGCCUUGGUAUUUCUAUGUUGUAGAUUAAAAAAUGGAAACUCAGAGAGAUUAAAGGCUACACUCAGACUCUUUCUUCUAGGGAUGGCAGAGCCUGGGUCUGAGUGUGGUUCUGAUUCUUACACUGGUCCUUUUUCUACACCCUAAUCACACCCAAAGGAAGGAUCUGCUUUUGCCAAAGGUCAGCGCGUGUGCCUUUAAAUCUCUCACCAUCCCUGCCAGGGACACCUUCCUGAUGCCCCACACCCUGGGGAAACAUGCUCCUCUUUACAUAUUGGUCCUUUUCUAGGAUGCUUCUCCUACGAAAUUCCCUUCUGGUCUUUGAAGCUUAAGAAGUUUCACCACCUCUGAGAAGGUGUCAAAGGAACAUUCCCUUCCAAAGAGUGGAGUAUUCCAUUUUCCACGCGCCCUCAGCACUUUCUUUAUAUUUCUGUUUUACUAUUUGUAAUCUUGUUUUUAGAGUCUCUCCUCACCCCAGUACCCUAUAAACUGUGAUCUUUGAAGACAGGAAUCAACAUCCCCUGUCUGUCAUCGCUCCCCAACACUCAGAGUAAUGACUGAUACCCAGAAGUUGAGUGAGUUAUGGAGGCGAGCAGUCCAGUCUCAGACAGGUGCGAAGUUAGUGAAAUUGCUUCUUAAAAUACCUAAGAGAAGGCUGGCGAGAUGGUUCUGUGGGUAAAAGCAUCUACGCCCAGUCCGAAGACCUGAGUUCCAUCCCCAGACCACACAUGAUGGAAGGAGAGAACCGAUUCUUGCAAGUUGUUCUCUGACCUCCACAUGAAUGCCAUUGCACAUGAGCAUGUGCACCCAUGCAUCUCUCUCUCUCUCUCUCUCUCUCUCUCUCUCUCUCUCUCUCUCUCUCUCUCUCACACACACACACACACACACACACACACACACACACACACACCCCUUUUGAAGUUUUCAAGACAAAAGUAUCUUAAGUGGAUAUACUACAUCCAUGGAAUAAGGUCCUCCAAAGCAAAUGACAGUGGCAUUAUCUCUUUCUGUUAUUUGGGUUAAUUGAUGUGUUAUAUUAACUAUUGUUGGCUGGUCUCUGUUUGCCUCCUCCCCAUAGAGUCCAUCUGGUUGACUGUGUAAACCUAUCUCUUAAAUUGUACACAUCAUUGUGUCUCUUGCUUAGCAUCAAUAACAGGAAGUUUAUUAUAAAUACCAUGCCAUUCUGGGGCUACAGGUUGAGAGUGCUCUCCUGGUCAUUGUGGCUCAUUCCUGAUAGAAUUUGGUGUGGUUUUACUGAAAUCCCAGUAGCUGAAAUAUUUGUUUGCUAUUUCCACACUCUAACUUGAGAAAUAUUUCUUUUCACUUUGUUUUAUUCACUUCAGUUUCUUGCCAUAGUGACUGACACAUAGGAUGCUUGAGAAAUUUUGUUGAGCGUGUAAAUGCUUUCUAUUGCCUUCAGAUAUUUCAUGCAGAUAAAGCAUAUGUGAUGGAAAUAUAAGAGUAAACAAAGAAAACAUGCCUCUGUGCCUAAUCCCCUGGCUUAAGAACUAGAUUGUUGUUAAGAUGUCAAAGCCUCCUUUGUGUCCCAUCCUAAUUAUUUUCAUCUUCUCUUCCUCUGGAGGAAACAUCUACUCUAAUAAUUUUUUACAUUUAUCAUCACCUGCAGUUUAGCUUUGUUACAUAUAGACCUUGGCCAAGACCUUAUAUAGCUCUAAAUAUAUCUGAAUUCUUGUAAAACUUCAGUCGUGAUGUAUGAAUUCUCCAGUGAGCUGCUUUUUUCUCUCAACAUUUUGCCAUUCAUUCUGUUGCUCAUAGACUUCAGUUCAUUUUUAUUGAUAUGUUAUGAAGAAAUGACUAAACCACAAUCCACUUAACCAUGCUCCUAUCAAGAGGUAGACCAGUUGUCCACAGAUAGCAUACUCAGUGCUGAAAGCCCCCAGGCUUCCCUCUAAGGUCAGAAACAAGGUGAAGGUGUCUGUCUGUUCUGGGAGUUUUAGCCCCAACAAUCAAGCAAGAAAAACCAGUGCAAGGUCAGGGGAUCUUCAGUGAAGAUGUCAAGAACCCCAGUGGAGAAGGACUCAUCUCUUCAGCAAACGGUGCUGGGAAAAUUGGACAUCUACACACAAGAAAGAGAAGCUUGCCAACACCACCAAAAUUGCCAACACCACCAAAAACAAAAAAAAGCAAAAUGCUGAAAAUGUGUCAAUGACCCAAAUGUAAGACCUGAAACCAGAAAACUCUCCUGUCCUAAUGUGAAAUAUAGGGGAAAGCUUCAUGAGUUUGGAUUUGACAGUUAUUCCUUGGAGAUGAUACCCAAAGCAUAGGUCACAGAAGCUAAAAACAGACAACUGAGAGCAUGCUAAACAUCAGACCUGCACACGCAGGACGAGAGCAACGCUGCAGACAAGUGACCUGUAAAACAGGAUGGUGUUGCAAAGCAUCUGACAGGGUCAACCCCGAAAACCUCUAGGGAAACCUCACAACUCAACAGCACACCCAAGCAAUCUCCUUAGAAAGUGGGCAGACAACUGGAGUAGAGAUCUAUCCAGAGAAGGCACACAAGGGCACGCAAGCAAAUGCAGUCAUCAGAGAUCUGAAAACAAGGCACAGAGAUUCAUCUCCUCACACCCGGCAGGAUGGCCACAAGUGGGAACUAGGGAGGUGGCUCAGCAAUUAAGAGUACUCACUGCUCUUGCAGAGGACCUGAAUUGGCUCCCCAGCACCCAUAUCUGGCUGCUCACACCCACCUGUGACUCUACCUCCAGGGGGUCCAGUUUCCUCUUCCUGCCUCUUCAGGCACCGACAUGCAUAUUCCCAGUGUUCUCUCACUGUGUGCAAGAAUUCCAGUCCUUCUGCCCUCUCAUAACCCUUGAAAAGCUUGCCCAUCCGAUGGCUAUUUCAAUUGACUUUUUUUUCCUUUUUGAUUUUUCAAGACAAGGUGUCUCUGUGUCCUGGCUGUCCUAGAACUCACACUGUAGAUCAUGCUGGCCUUGAAUUCAGAGAUCCACCUACCUCUGCCUCUUAAAUGCUGGGAUUAAAACAUGUGCCACCAAGCCCAGCCUCAGUUGAUAUUUUCUGAAGAGUAGAGAAUUUGUGUAUCUUUUGGGACAUUUUUUCGGCCCUCUGGGUUUCUACUCAAGUGAUGAUCUCUUCCUGGUUGGGCACAUUUUAUGUUAUUCAGGUUGCUUUUUCUUGUAGCAUGAAUCUUAAAAGUUCUUAUUAAUAAAAUCAAACCUGAGCCAGGUAUUGGAAUGAACGCUGGAAGAUCAGAGAGACAGAACAGGCCACAGCCACCUCACCUCACCAUUUCCUCAGCUGAUCCUGUUUCCUCAGACUGGAAGCCUCUGAGUCCUCAUCCAGAAUGAAUCUCAGCUGAAUUGCUGCUAGAAGCCUGAAAGCUUAACCAGCCAAGUGCUUCUAGUUUCUGGUUCUCACACCUUAUAUACCUUUCUACUUUCUACCAUUACUGCCUGGGAUUAAAGGUGUGUGUCACCAUGCCUGGCUGUUUCCAAUGUGGCCUUAAACUCACAGAGAUCCAGAGGGAUUUCUGCCUCUGGAAUGCUAGGAUUAAAGGUGUGAGUGCCACCAUUUUCUAGCCUUUGUAUCUAAUGGCUGUUCUGUCUCUGACCCCAGAUAAGUUUAUUAGGGUGCAUAAUAUUUUGGGGAACACAAUACCACCACAUUUUCUUACUGAUUUUUUUUAAUCAGUUAUUCACAUAUUCUGUGUACAAAUUUUUUAUACAUCAUUGAAUAGCUACUGUCUUCCACCUGGUGAUUGGUUAUCUCACUUUGUAAAUACGCCUUUAAGGAAAAGAAGGUUGGGGCUGGAGAUAAGGCUCAGUGGUGUGCAUAUGCUUGAUGUAUGAGACACCCCCCCAUCUUUAGAGCUCCAUGCCCCUCCAGCACUCUAUACCCCCCCAAACAGGAAACAAGCUUUAGGCAUAGCCAAAUUUAUUUAUCUUUUCUAUUAUGCCUUGUUCUUUUAUAACAUGGGGUUUUCUCUUAAAAAAUUAAAGUUGUUCUGGAAUAGAUUAUUUUAAUUUUAUUUAUGUGUAUGUUAUCUGUGCCCUUGUGUGUGCAGGUGCACACACACCUGAAUGUUUCUGUGAAAUCCAGAGGCUGGUGUCAGUCCUCUGUCGCUCUCCAUCUUAUUUUUUGAAACAGGGUCUGUCCCUGAGCCUGGAACUCACUCUUUCAGCUAGACUGGUUCAUCAGUGAGCCCCCCAGAAUCCAUCUGCCUCCACCUCCCACCGGAGCUGGGUUUACAGACAUGCACCCUGCUUUUUUUUAACACCAGUGCUGGGGAUCCAAACCCAGAUCCUCAUGCCUGUGCAACAAGCGCUUUCCCUGGUGGGCCGUCUCUCUCGCGGCCCAUAGAUCUAGUAGAAUAGAUUUUGAAGAGAUGUGAAAACCAGUAAUGGGAGUUGGGAGUGGUGCAGAGAGAGGCUUUCCUUAGGCUGGUGAUGUGGCAGUUGGUAGAGUGUUUGCUUGGCUCACCUGAGGUCUUGGAUAUGAUCUCCAGUACUACAUAAACUGGGUGUGGUAGCCCAUGACUAUAAUCCAGUACUUGAGAAGUGGAGACAGGAGAAUCAGGAGUUCAAGGUUAUCCUGAGCUACACAGUUCAAGGUCAGCCUGGACUAUGCGAACCCCUAUCUCAAAGGCAAAUAAACAAAGAAAUCAAAGAAAAGCAAAUAGUUUCUUCCUCCGUGGAGAAGGCAGGUGGAAGGCAGUAUGUCUAUGUGCUCUCGAGCCAAGGUUGCUGUGGGGACAGUAAUUUAACCUGAGGAAGGACAGUCUGCCCCCAAGGGUUUGCAGUUUCAGGUGCUUGUGGGAGCAAUAGACUCCGCAGGUUGCAGGUGACGUAUCACCUGGAAGGAGGUACCAUGUUUCUCCACUUCUCUGUGAACAACAGAGUGCCCAGCACAAACCAAGCCAAGUGUGGGCACCGCUCUGUCCAUCUUUCUCUCUACUCCCAUUUCUUACCUGUAACUUUCUACCCGGUGGUAGCAAAGUGAUCUCAAGAAGGUAAAAGACAAAGCUCUGAGGAUUAGAAGACGACAAGGGACGAGCAGAAGUAGGACCAUCCUUCCCUUGGAGCCUGUGAAAGCAGCAGUGGAAGGUUUAAGUGGAGGAGCAGA